AUGGCUGUCUGCAAGCUGGAGAGCCAGGAAAGUUCAUAUCCAUUCUGUCCUAGGAGCUGGAAACCUCAGAAUGAAGGAGACCAGUACACCACCCUCUUCCAUAGCAAAAUCCUGAAAGCUCUGAGAGGUUCACUGGUGGAAAUCCACAUUGAAAGGCUGAAAGAAAAAAUGGCCACCCUCACCUGCAGGACCAGUCAGAAUGUUAGCAACUACCUAGCCUGGUACCAGCAGAAACCUGGACAGGCUCCCAGGCUCCUCAUCUAUGGUGCCUCCAGCAGUGCCACAGGCAUCCCUGCCCAGUUCACUGGCAGUGGGUCAGGGACAGACUUUACUCUCAGCAUCAGCAGCCUGAAGCCUGAAGAUAUUGGAGUUUAUCACUGCUACCAGUAUAGUAACUGGCACAAAGUGAUGGGGGUGGGGGUCAACUGA
Heterocephalus glaber (naked mole-rat) is the source of this 429-nucleotide non-coding RNA. The record is from the annotation of a RefSeq genome assembly. NCBI's taxonomy places the organism in Eukaryota, Metazoa, Chordata, Mammalia, Rodentia, Bathyergidae.